Toxotes jaculatrix (banded archerfish) is the source of this 329-nucleotide long non-coding RNA. RefSeq lists it as uncharacterized. The transcript has 3 exons. Lineage: Eukaryota; Metazoa; Chordata; Actinopteri; Toxotidae. The record is from RefSeq and is a predicted model, not a curated record.
GGAAGUACUGCAGGCUGCCAACCGCUGUGCUGUGCUGUGUGUGUGCCGCUGCCUCUCUCACUCUCUCUCAUACAAAAAGGAAAGGAGCGGCAGAAUCUCAGCUGUGGUGUGCGGCAUGCCAAGGCCAUAGAGCAUGUGGGUAGAGAGCGUACUGCACGCUGGGCUGUGAUGAAAAUGGGCUUCAAGUGUGUGGCAAGUGGUAAACUGAGGAACUUGGAUGGCUAUAGGGGCCAUCUGCAGAGACAGAGUCCACAAUGGUGACUUUGUUUUCUGUUCCAGUUCACCUGUUAUGGAUGGCUGCAGUGCUGAAUAAACACACCUGCUGGGAG